CGUAUGUGAGACAAAUGUGAAUAAAUAAACAAAAUAAAUAAAGAUGAACUAUAAACAAAAGCAGAAAGAAAGUGAAAGAAUAAAGGGACAAGAAAGACUUUAGACAUGGCUAAGUAAAGAAAAGACAAAAAAAAAACAAACAGAACCAAACCCUUCUCUAAAUAUUGGUCUAAACUGUACAGUAUAUAAAUCCUGCUUAAUUAUUCUGAAAAGUACUGUAACUAUAACACAACAGUCCCCAUGUGUUUUAUUCAUUUAUCCUAGCAUUUUCUAAAUAAAAAUAUAAAAAUAUAAAUGUGCACGAGAGCCAAACUGACAUAACAGAUUCAGAAACGUACACCAGCACAUCCGCCUGAGCUGUAAAUAUUCCCUCAGCAGGGACCUCCACCACAAUGACAUUUAUUACACAUUUUAUUUCAUUAACUCUCAAUAUUUCUCUUUUAAAUUUUCAGAUUUUCUUUUCUUUUCAUUAUCUCUGGAUGGUAAUUAAGGCUGAAGAUAAACAAGAAAGCAAAAUGAGGUAAAAACAAGGACAAAAUGAUCAUUAAAAUAGUUACAUUAUUUAAAAAAAAAUAGUAAAAAUGUUUUUGCUAUUUAAAUCUUUUCUUCACAAUUUAAUGGAAAAUCUUUAAAGAAAUGAUGUGUUAUAGAAAUUCUGCCAUAUUAACUAUAGCAAAAAAUAUAUAUAUAAACCACACUGUAUGCAAAUUUCACCAUUCACAAGCAGAUAUAAAGACACUGCAAGGACACUGCAGUCUCUGUGUUUGGUUGUGUACAGCAGAGGAAUCAUGAGCUGGUCUUUUCUUCUUCUGAUAUCCUUUGUGCCCUAUGUGUGUUGCAUCAGUCUGACCUCGUCUCCUGAUCAGGUUAAACCUCCUGGAGAAACAGUGAAGUUGUCCUGUCAGAUUUCUGGUUAUGCCCUGACUGACUAUGGUACAGGCUGGAUCAGGCAACCUCCAGGAAAAAGCAUGGAGUGGAUCGGGAUCAUAUGGGGUGAUGGAAGCAUAAAUAAUGGAGCUUCCUUUAAAAGUCGGUUCAGCAUCUCCAGAGACACGAGCAGCAAUGUGCUAUACUUAGAUAUCAGCAGCCUGAAACCAGAGGACACGGCUGUUUACUACUGUGCAAAGACAGCCACAGCUAUACAACUCAGUGGGAGGGGCGUACAAAAACUUAGAAAAAGCAUCAACUUUAAUACAAAAUGCAACGAUGAUCAAACUGACAAGUACACAUUAUAA
Tachysurus fulvidraco (yellow catfish) is the source of this 1235-nucleotide non-coding RNA. NCBI's taxonomy places the organism in Eukaryota, Metazoa, Chordata, Actinopteri, Siluriformes, Bagridae. The record is from the annotation of a RefSeq genome assembly.